Non-coding RNA from Ictidomys tridecemlineatus (thirteen-lined ground squirrel), 198 nucleotides. NCBI's taxonomy places the organism in Eukaryota, Metazoa, Chordata, Mammalia, Rodentia, Sciuridae. The record is from Rfam.
UAAGGGAGAAAAGACCUCACUUUUCUGAUAGUUUAUAUUCCCUUAAAUGUACUGAAGAGUAAAAUCUAAAAUGAUUCCAUCUUUAGUGGAAUGAAAUCUCUCAGGCAGACAGUGGAUACAAUGUGGCAAUCCUGGAAUUUGUUAAUUUGUGCAAAAUGAACAAGGAAACCUUCCCUGGUGACACAGCUGCUCUGCCGG